This 107-nucleotide small nuclear RNA is filed under the name Spermophilus dauricus (Daurian ground squirrel). Lineage: Eukaryota; Metazoa; Chordata; Mammalia; Rodentia; Sciuridae. The record is from RNAcentral.
GUAUUCACUUCAGCAGCACAUAUACUAAAAUUGGAAUGAUACAGAGAAGAUUAGCAUGGCCCCGGCACAAGGAUGACAUGCAAAUUCAUGAAGCGUUCCAUAUUUAA